Molecule: ribosomal RNA, 260 nt
Filed under: uncultured Stemonitis sp.
Lineage: Eukaryota; Evosea; Eumycetozoa; Stemonitida
Description: partial 18S ribosomal RNA
Rfam family: Eukaryotic small subunit ribosomal RNA
Source: RNAcentral
AUGCUUCUCCUAAAGACUAAGCCAUGCAUGUCUUCGAAUAAGAGGUAGCAAUUCUCUCUGAAUCUGCGAACGGCUCCGCAAACCAGUUGUAAACCAUAGCAGCGUUCCGCCCGGCUUCAGCAAUGGAGCCGGACAUUAUAUGGAUAACCGUGGUAAUUCUGAGGCUAAUACAUGACACACCAACCUGCCGGGCUGGGGCAACCCGGCUUGCUGGGGGACGUGCGAAUCAGCAAUGCUAUAACGAACAUCGGGAAUGAGCG